Molecule: long non-coding RNA, 293 nt
Filed under: Lupinus angustifolius (narrow-leaved blue lupine)
Lineage: Eukaryota; Viridiplantae; Streptophyta; Magnoliopsida; Fabales; Fabaceae
Description: long non-coding RNA (LANG_LNC001064)
Source: RNAcentral
GGCGGAGCGAUGCAAUAGCUGGCCAACCAUAACUUUUUCUGGGUCAUGUGGGUCGUCUUCUUCCUCUCUCGGGUAUAGACUUGGUCAUGGCUGCAAAGGUUACACAUGCCUGAGGUAGGAGGAGCCGACAACUGGUCCUCAUCUUCUCUUUCUCCGGUCGCACCACAUAGGAUGCGGAUCCGGCGACGCAUGGGUUCAUAACCCAUUUGUUCAAAUGCUAUAAGCAAAGUUUUUUUUGGGUAAAGGGGAGUCCCAUGGGGAAACCAUAUCCCUCAUACAUUAACAAGAUCUCA